RNAcentral lists this ribosomal RNA (253 nucleotides) under uncultured bacterium. RNAcentral's name for it is "partial 16S ribosomal RNA". It matches the Rfam family "Bacterial small subunit ribosomal RNA", at positions 524 to 776 of the family's 1533-position model. The record is from RNAcentral.
UACGUAGGGGGCAAGCGUUGUCCGGAUUUAUUGGGCGUAAAGAGCGUGUAGGCGGCUGGGUAGGUCCGUUGUGAAAACUCGAGGCUCAACCUCGAGACGCCGAUGGAAACCCUCCAGCUAGAGUCCGGAAGAGGAGAGUGGAAUUCCUGGUGUAGCGGUGAAAUGCGCAGAUAUCAGGAAGAACACCCGUGGCGAAGGCGGUUCUCUGGGCAUUACCUGACGCUGAGGAGCGAAAGUGUGGGGAGCGAACAGG